CCCCUAGAUGUUCUGGGCCGCACGCGCGCUACACUGAACAGUUCAACAAGUCUUAACCUUGGCCGAUAGGUCUGGGUAAUCUUUGAACGCUGUUCGUGAUUGGGAUAGACCUUUGCUAUUAUGGGUCUUCAACGAGGAAUUCCUAGUAAACGCAAGUCAUCAGCUUGCAUUGAUUACGUCCCUGCCCUUUGUACACACCGCCCGUCGCACCUACCGAUUGAAUGGUCCGGUGAAAUCUCGGGACGGCGGCUUGGUCGCUUGCGUCCGACUGCUGAAACUUGAUUAAACCAUAUCAUUUAGAGGAAGGUGAAGUCGUANCA
Molecule: ribosomal RNA, 320 nt
Filed under: uncultured eukaryote
Lineage: Eukaryota
Description: partial 18S ribosomal RNA
Rfam family: Eukaryotic small subunit ribosomal RNA
Source: RNAcentral